AUUGAACGCUGGCGGCAGGCCUAACACAUGCAAGUCGAGCGAGCGGCGGACGGGUGAUUACUGUAUGUGUGCUGCCCGAUAGAGAUGGAUACCUACUGGGAACGGUAGCUACUACCACGUACUAUCGGAUUACCUAUAUGGGAUUAGCUAGUAGGUGAGGUAAUGGCUGACCUAGGCGACGAUCCCUAGCUGGUCUGAGAGGAUGAUCAGUCACACUGGGACGGAGACACGGCCCAGACUCCUACGGAGGCAGCAGUGGGGAAUAUUGGACAAUGGGCGCAAGCCUGAUGCAGCCAUGCCGCGUGUAUGAAGAAGGUCUUCGGGUUGUAAAGUACUUUCAGUCGGGAGGCGUUACCGACAGAAGAAGCACCGGCUAACUCCGUGCCAGCAGCCGCGGUAAUAC
RNAcentral lists this ribosomal RNA (403 nucleotides) under uncultured bacterium. RNAcentral's name for it is "partial 16S ribosomal RNA". It matches the Rfam family "Bacterial small subunit ribosomal RNA", at positions 30 to 526 of the family's 1533-position model. The record is from RNAcentral.